Molecule: long non-coding RNA, 581 nt
Filed under: Homo sapiens (human)
Lineage: Eukaryota; Metazoa; Chordata; Mammalia; Primates; Hominidae
Description: non-protein coding CDKN2B-AS1:30
Rfam family: CDKN2B antisense RNA 1 convserved region 3 (bases 294-437)
Source: RNAcentral
CAUGAAAUAAAUCAUCAUAAUAAAUCACUAUUUCAGAUAUUGAGAAACCACAGAAAGAGAGAAGUUAAAUAAUUUUCCUGUCAAAGACCACAUCAAUGAUGAAGCCAGAAUUUGAGCUCAUGUACUUAACCACUGGACUACCUGCCUGCCCUGUCGAGGAACAGCUAAGGUUGUCAUAGAGUCUUGACUGUGUAUAGAUAGUUGUUUGAAAAAUAUCUGCUGUGUUUAGGUCAUAGUCCAACCAAAGGAUUAAUUAACAUUUGCCUCUUUUUUCUCCUACAUCCAGUGUCCCUUUUGAUGAGAAGAAUAAGCCUCAUUCUGAUUCAACAGCAGAGAUCAAAGAAAAGACUUCUGUUUUCUGGCCACCAGAUAUAUGUUAUCUGUGCUUAAAGAAUUGAAAAACACACAUCAAAGGAGAAUUUUCUUGGAAAGAGAGGGUUCAAGCAUCACUGUUAGGUGUGCUGGAAUCCUUUCCCGAGUCAGUACUGCUUUCUAGAAGAAAACCGGGGAGAUCUAUUUGGAAUGUAUCUAACUCCAAAGAAACCAUCAGAGGUAACAGGUAGGAGAUAUGAAACGACCUU